Molecule: long non-coding RNA, 5405 nt
Filed under: Marmota monax (woodchuck)
Lineage: Eukaryota; Metazoa; Chordata; Mammalia; Rodentia; Sciuridae
Source: RNAcentral
AGGGAGCCCUGUUUUGGCCAAGCUCAAGGUUUCCAGCCCAAGUUCUGAGGUGGAUGGGUCCCUGGUCUUGGGGUGGGUUGAGGUCGGGUUUACCUGUCUCCUUUCCCCUGCUCUCCAGCCCAGCGUGAAGCCGGACUGGAAGACGCCCUCAGUCCCGCAGCAGCUCAGCCUAGUAGCUCAGGGUCCCUCUAAAAAGAGCUGUCUCGGGUGGACCUCCAAGCUCCACCAUGGCCCCCGGUGUGGGAUUUCUGGGUCUUUUCCUGGGUGGCUCCAAGAUAAAGGAUUUCAAGGGACCCCGCAAGACCUUCUUAUUUCACUAAGUGCUCAAAUCUCUGGUUAGAAGUAGUAGAGGGGAGGCCUUCCGUCUGCCAGUUGGAGUUAAAUGACCAAGGGAGUCCACCCUCACCACUAAAACUCACUCCUGGAUGUCAUUUAAAUGUCCCCUCUUUAGCUUAAAAUGUUAACCCCUAUCUCCAUGAUAAUUUGCCGGGGGAGGGGAUGGAGUGGCAUAAAUCAUGCCAUUGGAUUAGAACUGGGUUUGGAAGGAAAGAUGGAGCCAUAGGAAGGGAGCCAGCUGACCCGGAGGGAAGUCAGGGAGGAGCCACUGGGAAGAGCUCAGAAGGGGACAUACAGUGUUUCUUAUCAUAUCGUGUGUUUUCUCCAUGGGGCAGUUUUUAGCAAUUACUAUACUGUGUACUUUUAUCCAUUGAUUUCUAUAAAUUUGUACAAUCCUUCAUUGAUAAUUAGUUUAUUCCCUGAGUUUAUUUUAUUGGAGUCCAAGUUUUAGUGCCUUGGAAUUUUAAAUUAAAACAUUUCACUGUAUUGCCUGCAUUUUAACAGCAUUCCCUCCCCCAUUUUGUUACCAUAUGUUAAUAUUUCUGAAAUUGGAGUGUUUCCUUUAGGUGAUGUCAGAGGAAGGUUAACAGACUUUUUAUUUCUUCUCAAAAGAUAUUAUUAAAUUGAUUAUAUGUCUUCUAUCCAGAUUGGAGGGAACACUGUAAUUGUUUUGCUUUGGGGCACUUUCUGAAAACACCCCUUUUCUCCUACCUGUGGGUGUGCAUAUGGUUAUUUCAGCCAGGAGCUAGCUACAUGCAGUGUGCUCAAGCAGCUGUCCAUGCCACAAUCCCUGCCAUCCACAUUGCUGAAUGCCCUGCCUACGACCUUCCCCAAAAUAAUGCAGUAAAAUAUGUGCUGAACAAAAUACCAAAAUGAAGAUAGGAUUACUGAGUUUUGCCUUUUGCCUCAGCUCCAAUGUUGCUUGGCUCGUUGAUCCUGCCUUAGGGCAAAAUUCUGAUUUUUAGGAAAGAUUACAUUAAAAUAUCCUUUAUAUUGCUGGCUGAGUUUUGGGCACACUCAUAAUAUUUCCACCCAAGGCCAGAGCCUCAUUCAUCUCCCCCUUGUCUGCUCCGUCCUUCUGAUUGAUGGAAGGGUGAGAAAGAGCUUGCGGAGAACCAUCCCACGUGCUCCAGGAGGACUUCUGGAGUCCCACUCCUCACGGCCACUGCCACUGUGUAAGGAGCAGGUGAUCUUUACACAAUUUCUAAAGCCUUUUUAACCAGGGCUUGUCUUUUGUCUGGAUUAUAUUUUGUAUGACUUCAUCAAUUUUAUUGCUCUAGCAAUUCACCUUUUCACAGAAUUUUACAAAAGUACCAUUCCACAAUACAUCGGUAAUUAAAAACAACAAAGAUAUAAUGACCCCAGGUCUUUGACCAGAGGUGGCUCAGGACAAGGCUUCCUGUGGAGGGGAGCGGGCAAGCUGAGACACUUCUCAUUUGAAUUGUGGUUGGUCUGGGCAGAUGAUGGUGAGUCCAUAGUUAGUGCGCAGGCUGUUGGGGGUUUUGCGUGCUUCAGCAUAUCCAGUGAGCAGUACUGUUAACCCUGUUUCCCAGUCCAAAAAUUGGUGACUGUGGGACUGCUGUUCCAGGGCACUAGCAUCACCCGCCCUCAGGGCUUCUGCUCAACUUCUUGGCCCAUCAUGAUGGCACCACCUCUUCCCAAACCAGGUCACUGUUUCACUCAGAGAAGAUGAUUAAACUGCUGCAUCAAGGCCAAGGCCUAUGACCGAGUCGGGAACUGCAAGACAAGGGAUGUUAAGACUGUGAGUAAAGGAAACCUCCACCCAGGGCUUAGGGGUGGGUCCUGGCGCUUUAAUUUCACUUAACCCGAUUUUCCAAACUUGUCUCUGCUUUUCCUACUUCUGCUUUUUCUUUUGUCUAUUAAUAUCUCACAUAAAUGAAGAUGAUUUUGGAAGCCACAGGUCAUCUCUGUAGAGCAUCGACAACCUAGAAGGGUUCAGAAUCGGUGGUGUACUCAUGGAUUCAAAGUCCACACCUGCCCUGUGCCCUUGGAAUGUCACCGAUGGCAGGAUUCUGGGGACUUAUAGAUGGAUGUGUGUGUCUGAUGAAUCCCCCUCCUCAUUGGCAGUGUCCCCAUGUGGGAAAGGAGACAGGAAGCAACUCUUUGGUCACCAUGCUGGGUAGCUCAUAUAAAUCAUCUCCUCUAAUGUCUACUAGCCCCCCUGAGAGAACGGCAUAUGCACUUCACGGUCUAGGGAAGCUGCAUCCUAGUUGCUAGCAAGUGCUUUGCAUCCAUUAACUUAUGUCCCUUGGUUCUCAUUGCUGUUCCCUUUAUGAAAACAGAACAGAUUUGCCCCCCUCCUCUUUUAAAAGCUUUACGCAAGACUAAGAAGACUCUCUAGUAAAUGCCUCCCAGGUGACUUAGAUAGGCUACAGGACAUCUCUGCUGCCUUGUUUCCAGACAGUGACUUAGGAUUGUGAGAGCAAUGGCUUCUAUCUUCAGGACCCCAGGGACUCAAUUCCAUCCCAAAUGCCACUCUUGGAAAAAUGAUCCAACAAGGUGUGGGCUUGGGGCCUCUGUAAAUGCUGUGCUAACUCACUGGACACCAAGCUCAGGGCAUGUACCUGACGAUGGCAACCAAGGCCAACAGGCACAUUCCCAUUUCCACUUCCCUUUCAGCUUGGGCACUCACCAGUGCAAAUGAAGCCACUAGUGUUGAUACCUGAGGGAAGAGAGGCAGGGGGCCCGGGUGAGUGGAACACUGCCCUGGGAUGCCAAAUCUCCUGACCACCCCCUUCAUGGGUCCAUUUUGAUUUUGGGGGCACCCAAUUUGGCCCCCUCCUCCAUCUCCUUUCAGGCUGCCCUUGAUCCAUAAUGCCUGUCAACCUCAGGCAGCCCCGUUGGCGAGAUCCGGGAUGCACUUUGGGAGGAGGAAAGGGCGAACUCUGUAGCAAUGUUCUCCCAAGGGUCAGAAUUGCUGUUCACUUCUUCCCUUGGGGAGAAGCCUGGGUCUUUGCCAGCCCUGUGCCUAAAAGCACAUUCAGCAAUUCUCCAGAACAACAGAUUCAGCAAGCAGGGUGCGUGGAACCACGCAGUGGGGCACAGUGGAGAGCGUCUGUUUGCUAAAUAAAAGGCAGGUAAUCCCAGCAAUCAGCUCCCUUCCUGACUAAGGGCCGUAGUCACGUAAACAGCAUUAGCUGGGAAUGAAGUCGUUGGUUCUGCCAACAGCUGCCUUCGUCACUGACCCACAGCAUGCCUGUUCUAGUGAUCUGCCUCACCUGCCAUGGGGUGAAACGUCUGGGCUCCCCAGGUUGCAGAAUGGGACUAAAGGUCUCUGUGUGUCAGCCCUAGACUUAGUUAUUAGCAUGCAAUAAGCAGACCAUCAACCCUGGGAAGUUUGGAGUCCCACUAUAACCUGAAUAUGGCUCCUGACCGUUUUCUGACCUCUUGAUCAUCUGUCCAUUGGUACGUGAGUAAAUAAUGCAAAUUAAUCAUAAUCAUUUCCUAAGCAAACAAAGUUACUUUGGCAAUUAUACCAGCUCCAAAGUGCAGGGCAAUGUGGCCCUAACGAACAUGGGAGGGUGUAUCUGAUCUCCUGGCUGACCACUGAUGACGUCCCCUCAGGUAACAUGUAGCUGACAGCCAGGCCUGGCCUCUAGAACAUCAUCAGGGCUUUUCAUCAAGACUCCAGGAGAAAAUAAAUGCACAUAUCAUCUGUGCCCUUGGCAUGGGCAGCAAGGGUGACCUUGAUUUUCAGGUGUGCACAGCUACCUUUGACCUUCAAGUCCCACUGGAGAGGCAUAGGCACGAUCCCAACGAAAAGGAAGCUGCCUGAGUCAGCCCCCAGCGACCUUGCGUAGUCCACCAUUGUCCUUGUGUCUUAGCACUUCAGUCUGCAAUCAAUCAAUGCCCAUUUGGUGCUCAGCAAAUCCCACAGAGAUGUUCAGUUCAAGGACUCUGGACGGACGUGCAGGACGGAUCUCAAGGACAUGGUGGUAUUUGACAACUCUCCUUAUGCCAAUGUGGAUCAAAAGAUAUUUUGUACAAUGUUCCUAAAUAUAACUCCUAAGAAUUGCAUGAGGUCUUGGAAGAAAACGGGGGGAGAGAGAAGCCUUCCAAGUGGGACUCCCGGUGGCUUACACAAGCUUCCUCUGCCUCAGCACCACACACAGGGCCAACAGCACCACCGUGCUGAAAGCCUUGCUUUGCCUUUUCUGUCCCCACUUAUUGUAGCUUUUGACCUUCUAGGUCAAAGAGCAAAGUGUAAUUACAAAGUUCAUUGUCCACUAGCCUGUGUAAGAGGACAUUUUCUUGUCACUGUAGCGCCUAUUCACCAUGGCUCACGGUCUUCCCAACACUUGUGGGAUGAAUGCAGAAGUGUCUUUGGGUAACCUCAGGUUUCUGCUCAAAGAUGCCUUCCCUGCCCCACCCUGCUCUGAACUGGGAACAACAGCCCCAGGAUCUCCUGCUGACUGGCGUCUGGCCAGGUUUGGCCAACUGGAGACGGUGGGGGAGGUAGGAGCGGGAGGAGGAGGGAGGCAGAGGGUCUCCUGCUCUGGUUUCACUUUGGGCAGCCCAGAGCAUCCCCUGAGAGCCCUGGACGUAUGAGCACAAGUCUGAGGCUGAGUGGGUGAGCCCAGUGGGCGGCUGGAGGACGAGGGUACCAGAAGCGUGAAAGGUGGCUUGCGGUGUUCCAAGUUUGGUGAGAGGAAGGUCAGGUAGGGCUCAGCCCUUCCAUCAGCGAGGACUGGCUUUGACCCGAGUGAGGCCCAUCAGCUAGAAGAGCAGGGGUGUGUGUGAACAACACCUGGUGCAGCGGGCGCCCGGGAAGGGGCAGGAGGGGUCCUCAGUGGACACCUGAACAGAGCUCCACUGAACACGGGAGUGGACAGGGAGGAACGGGGUCAGCAGAGGGAUCCUUCUAAGUCGAGGUAUAUCACCCAUGUUGAUGUGCUCAGGACAGCACCCCAACCAGGCGGGAGGGGUGGAUGAUGCAGGAAGGAGGGAAAAGGGCCGCGGAAUCCUCCUAUUCCAGGAGGAUUGCAAGUUCAAGAUCAACUUUAGCAACUUAGUGAGGCCCUAGGGACUUAGUGAGAAGGAGGGAAAAG